RNAcentral lists this non-coding RNA (29 nucleotides) under Mus musculus (house mouse). The record is from RNAcentral. Lineage: Eukaryota; Metazoa; Chordata; Mammalia; Rodentia; Muridae.
UACAAGUGCUUCGCUGGUUCACACCGGGU